AUGGAAAUGGAGCCGGGCGGUCCUAGUUCGAAGAAAGUUAAGUCAGCGGCCGUCAACAGCCGCCAAGAGGCACAGGCGCCGCCGACGCCGGCGUCGCCGGCAACUGAAGCCCCCUGUCUGGACCCUGCAGAGACGCCGCCCGCAGCUGAUGAAGAUGAUGGACGCGUCGACCGCAUCAGCAACCUCCCCGACCCCAUCCUCGGUGAGAUCGUCUCCCUCCUCCGCACCAAGGACGGCGCCCGCACCCAGAUCCUCGCGUCCCGGUGGCGCCACAUCUGGCGCACCGCGCCUCUCAACCUCGACUGCCGUCGUCUCCCCGACGAGGAGCACGGGCUCACCGGCGUGGUGUCGCGAAUCAUUUCCGCCCACCCGGGGCCCGGCCGCCGGCUCCGCAUCCCCGCGUAUUACCUCCAGGACCGGGCAGCAACCGUGGACGCCUGGCUCCGGUCCCCCGCCCUCGACCAGCUUCAGGAGCUUGAGUUCUGCCAUGUCUCGAACUGUCGGCCACGACUGCUUCGGCCGUUGGCACCGCCACCUGCCUCCACAUUCCGUUUUUCACCGACCCUCCGUGUUGUCACCAUCGGGAGAUGCCUCCUCCCGGACAGCACCGUCCAAGGGCUUCACCUCCCCCAACUUAAGCAGCUGGCGCUUGAACGGGUGAGCAUCUCUGAGGGCACGCUCUGUGGCCUGAUUGCCAGGUGCCCCGCCUUGGAGUGCUUGCUGAUAUACUACAGCUUUGGUUUCCAAUGCGCUCGGAUCAACUCCCUUAGCCUUAUAAGCAUAGGUGUGCGUCUGCGGCAUCGUUAUCUUUCUGAUCAUGAGACAGAUGAGCCGCAGUUCAGAGAACUCAUCAUCGAGAAUGCCCCUUCCCUUGAGAGGUUGCUCCGUGUCGAUAUACUUGAUGGCCUGCAUGUAUCCAUAAUCUCCGCGCCUAAGCUGGAAACCUUAGGUUCCCUUCAUGGUGAGAUGUACCUCAGUUCCUCAAUUCUUCAGUGUUGUCUUUUAUGCUUCAUAAAGCGAUUGCCCAGUGAUAGCCACACGACGGUGGUUGGCGCUGUCAAGGUCUUGUAUGUCAGAAUUACUUGUCUGGAUAUAGGCACGACACUUCAGUUGUUGAGAUGUUUUCCAUGCUUGGAGAAGUUGUACAUUCAGCAGUCGAUAUCAGGGGAUCUGAAUUUGUGGAAGCGUAAACACCGGGACCUAAUCAAGUGUCUUGACCUUCGUCUAAAGACGGUAGUUAUGCAAUUUUAUCGGGGCAUCAGGGCGCAAGUUAACUUUGCCACAUUCUUCAUACUGAACGCGAGAAUGCUGGAGUUGAUGUCAUUCAAAGUUGACACCGAAUAUUACUGCCGGGCCUUUUUAGCAGAACAGCGCAAGGAGCUUCAGUUGGAGAAACGGGCUUCAAGAGGUGCUCGGUUUCACUUUCAAACUGACAGACUUCUCCGCUGUUAUUCGAUGAUCAAUAAUGUCCGUGAUUUGGAUUUAAGUGAUCCGUUCGUAUGUAAGCGUUGA
This 1512-nucleotide ribosomal RNA is filed under the name Triticum aestivum (bread wheat). Its description in RNAcentral is "partial small subunit ribosomal RNA". The record is from RNAcentral. Lineage: Eukaryota; Viridiplantae; Streptophyta; Magnoliopsida; Poales; Poaceae.